This 532-nucleotide ribosomal RNA is filed under the name Escherichia coli. RNAcentral's name for it is "partial 23S ribosomal RNA". It matches the Rfam family "Bacterial large subunit ribosomal RNA", at positions 711 to 1241 of the family's 2925-position model. The record is from RNAcentral. Lineage: Bacteria; Pseudomonadati; Pseudomonadota; Gammaproteobacteria; Enterobacterales; Enterobacteriaceae.
AGACCCGAAACCCGGUGAUCUAGCCAUGGGCAGGUUGAAGGUUGGGUAACACUAACUGGAGGACCGAACCGACUAAUGUUGAAAAAUUAGCGGAUGACUUGUGGCUGGGGGUGAAAGGCCAAUCAAACCGGGAGAUAGCUGGUUCUCCCCGAAAGCUAUUUAGGUAGCGCCUCGUGAAUUCAUCUCCGGGGGUAGAGCACUGUUUCGGCAAGGGGGUCAUCCCGACUUACCAACCCGAUGCAAACUGCGAAUACCGGAGAAUGUUAUCACGGGAGACACACGGCGGGUGCUAACGUCCGUCGUGAAGAGGGAAACAACCCAGACCGCCAGCUAAGGUCCCAAAGUCAUGGUUAAGUGGGAAACGAUGUGGGAAGGCCCAGACAGCCAGGAUGUUGGCUUAGAAGCAGCCAUCAUUUAAAGAAAGCGUAAUAGCUCACUGGUCGAGUCGGCCUGCGCGGAAGAUGUAACGGGGCUAAACCAUGCACCGAAGCUGCGGCAGCGACACUGUGUGUUGUUGGGUAGGGGAGCGUUC